AGUGAACGCUGGCGGUAGGCCUAACACAUGCAAGUCGAACGGCAGCACAGUAAGGGCUUGCUCUUACGGGUGGCGGGUGGCGGACGGGUGAGGAAUACAUCGGAAUCUCCUUUUUCGUGGGGGAUACCGUAGGGAAACUUACGCUAAUACCGCAUCGGCCCUAGGGGGGAAAGCGGGGGAUCUUCGUACCUUGCGCGAUUGAAUGAGCCGAUGUCGGAUUAGCUAGUUGGGGGGGUAAAGGCCCACCAAGGCGACGAUCCGUAGCUGGUCUGAGAGGAUGAUCAGCCACACUGGAACUGAGACACGGUCCAGACUCCUACGGGAGGCAGCAGUGGGGAAUAUUGGACAAAGGGCGCAAGCCUGAUCCAGCCAUACCGCGUGGGUGAAGAAGGCCUUCGGGUUGUAAAGCCCUUUUGUUGGGAAAGAAAAGCAGCAGGUUAAUACCCCGCUGUUCUGACGGUACCCAAAGAAUAAGCACCGGCUAACUUCGUG
This 492-nucleotide ribosomal RNA is filed under the name uncultured bacterium. RNAcentral describes it as "partial 16S ribosomal RNA". It matches the Rfam family "Bacterial small subunit ribosomal RNA", at positions 29 to 507 of the family's 1533-position model. The record is from RNAcentral.